This 600-nucleotide ribosomal RNA is filed under the name uncultured archaeon. RNAcentral's name for it is "bacterial SSU rRNA". It matches the Rfam family "Archaeal small subunit ribosomal RNA", at positions 155 to 739 of the family's 1478-position model. The record is from RNAcentral.
GAUAGGUCAUCUCAUCUGGAAGGAGAGAUGGCUUAAAGGGGUACGCGGGCUUCUUCCGCGAAUCUGCUCCAGGAUGGGACUGCGUCCGAUCAGGCUGUUGGCGGGGUAAUGGCCCACCAAACCUGUAACCGGUACGGGCCUUGAGAGAGGUGGCCCGGAGAUGGACACUGAGAGAAGGGUCCAGGUCCUACGGGGCGCAGCAGGCGCGAAACCUUCGCAAUGCGCGAAAGCGUGACGAGGUUAAUCCGAGUGACUCCCGCUGAGGGGGUCUUUUGUCAGCUGUAAAUAGGCAGGCGAAUAAGGGGAGGGCAAGCCUGGUGUCAGCCGCCGCGGUAAUACCAGCUCCUCGAGUGGUCGGGGCGAUUAUUGGGCCUAAAGCAUCCGUAGCCGGUUCCGUAGGUCCUCUGUUAAAUCCAACCGCUUAACGGUUGACCUGCAGAGGAUACCGCGGGACUAGGAGGCGGGAGAGGCGGACGGUACUCCGCGUGUAGGGGUAAAAUCCUUUGAUCCGCGGAAGACCACCAGUGGCGAAGGCGGUCCGCCAGAACGCGCUCGACGGUGAGGGAUGAAGCUGGGGGAGCGAACCGGAUUAGAUACCCG